UGGCCGCGGGAUUAGAGUUUGAUCAUGGCUCAGGAUGAACGCUAGCGGCGUGCCUAAUGCAUGCAAGUCGAACGGGAGGGAAGAAUUUCGGUUCAUCCCGAGAGUGGCGAACGGGUGCGUAACACGUAGAUGACCUGCCCUGGAGAGGGGGACAACCACGGGAAACUGUGGCUAAUACCCCGGAUGUCUGAGAGAUUAGAGGCUUUCAGACUGAAGGCUCCGGCGCUCUGGGAGGGGUCUGCGGCCCAUCAGCUAGUUGGUAGGGUAACGGCCUACCAAGGCAAAGACGGGUAGGGGGCGUGAGAGCGUGGCCCCCCACACUGGUACUGAAACACGGACCAGAUACCUACGGGUAGCAGCAGCAAGGGAUAUUGCGCAAUGGGCGAAAGCCUGACGCAGCAACGCCGCGUGGAGGACGAAGGCCUUCGGGUCGUAAACUCCUUUUCUGGAAGGAUAAGGCCUGUCCGCGAGGGCAGGUUUGAAGGUACUCCAGGAAGAAGAACCGGCUAACUACGUGCCAGCAGCCGCGGUAAAACGUAGGGUUCGAGCGUUAUCCGGAAUUACUGGGCGUAAAGGGCGUGUAGGCGGACAAGGAAGUCGGACGUAAAAGCUCCCGGCCCAACUGGGAGAGGCCGUUCGAAACUCCUUGACUCGAGGCUAGUAGAGGCAAGUGGAAUUCCCGGUGUAGUGGUGAAAUGCGUAGAUAUCGGGAGGAAGACCAGAGGCGAAGGCGGCUUGCUGGGCUAGACCUGACGCUGAGACGCGAAAGCCAGGGGAGAGAACGGGAUUAGAAACCCCGGUAUUCCUGGCAGUAAACGAUGUCAACUAGGUGCGUGGGGUACCC
RNAcentral lists this ribosomal RNA (844 nucleotides) under uncultured bacterium. RNAcentral's name for it is "bacterial SSU rRNA". It matches the Rfam family "Bacterial small subunit ribosomal RNA", at positions 1 to 839 of the family's 1533-position model. The record is from RNAcentral.